This 117-nucleotide ribosomal RNA is filed under the name Chloroflexota bacterium. The record is from RNAcentral. Lineage: Bacteria; Bacillati; Chloroflexota.
UUUGGUGGUCAUAGCACAAGCGAAACACCCGGUCCCAUCCCGAACCCGGAAGUUAAGCCCGCUAGCGCCGAUGGUACUUGGCUGGAGACGGCCUGGGAGAGUAGGUCAUUGCCAAGG